RNAcentral lists this non-coding RNA (26 nucleotides) under Homo sapiens (human). The record is from RNAcentral. Lineage: Eukaryota; Metazoa; Chordata; Mammalia; Primates; Hominidae.
UCCAUCCAGCCAAGCCAGCCAAGCCA